AAAUGUGACACCUUGCCCCACCUCCCCCACCUCUAUGUCAUCACAGAAACACCAGGCCUGCUUGGAGCACAGCGUGAACACCACUGACUUAGUCCAAGCCCCUUCCUGUACAGAUGAGAAGAUGGUUGAUCUUUCCUGAGGAGGAAUUCUGCUACCAACUGUGAAGUGUUGGAGGCAUGGGGCAGAAGUCAACCCCAAGGCAAUGAUUUCAUCGUGCCCCAGCAUCAAAUACCACUUUGAGUUAUCCUCCCUGGGCAAUUGGAAAAGGAACGUGUAAGGAGGGAAAUAUAAUCAGAUCCUUCAUCUCUGUAUCAAGAUUUCAUUUCCGAAGAGUGAUUUUGGGGUAUUCUUGGGCUGUCCUUCUUGCUGCUCCUAGCACCGUGGAAAGGAACUUCAGAAACGAAUAUAUAACUUGAUCACAAUGCCCAUGAUGUCUCUUCUGGGAGCUGGCUCUUCCAGGACUGACACGAAAGCACUAAAGCCGGAGGGCACGUUUCUCCGUUUUUUGGGAGACAGUCUAUCUCUUCAAAGCAGCUGGCCCUGAACAGGUUGGAUGAUGCCCACCUGCAUUGUCAGCUCUGUCUCUGCUUCCAUUUUUCCUUCACUCUGCCAUCUAUGCUAAUGGAACAGCCUCUGUCUGGAUCACGGUUUGUCUCAAGUGGGAGGAAAACUGACGUGGUAAUCCACAAACUACCUCUUAAAAGUUCUAGGUGAAAGUGACCACAUUUUGUCGUUGAAAAGAAGACACACGGCCAGGCUGAUGCCAAUGAACACAGGAAUAUAUUAUGCUGCUGCUAGGAAGGGAAGCUAACAGUCGUUAAUAUUAAAAUCUACCAUAACCUUCUUCAAAAGGUCAUUACAAAAUGGGAAAUUGGUUCUAAGUUUCAAGAGACAACAUUUUGAUUUCUGCUUCCAG
RNAcentral lists this long non-coding RNA (916 nucleotides) under Equus caballus (horse). RNAcentral's name for it is "lncRNA (ENSECAG00000048802.1)". The record is from RNAcentral. Lineage: Eukaryota; Metazoa; Chordata; Mammalia; Perissodactyla; Equidae.